UGUUUGAAAAUUCCUUCGGUGAAGCGGGAUCCGUUGGGGGUUGGUUGUCGACCCGGAGGCAUGUCGGGAUAGGGGGUUCGAAAGUAAAAAUAAAAAUUACCUGCCCCGGGUAGUAAACUCAAGCUGCUCCUUGGUUGCUUGAGCCAGUUGUGCGGCACUGUAGAAGGAAAUCUUCUUCCACUUCUUCAAAAGAGAGAGGGAGAAAAAGUGGGAAUAUUUAUGGUAAAGGCGGUUAAAAAUGUAUCAAUUCCAACUGAUGAAUAGGGAAAAAAGCAACCAUAAAACAUACGAUCGGGGAGAGAUAGAAUCCAUGGCAGGAAGCAC
RNAcentral lists this small RNA (324 nucleotides) under Histoplasma ohiense. RNAcentral describes it as "hypothetical lncRNA". The record is from RNAcentral. Lineage: Eukaryota; Fungi; Ascomycota; Eurotiomycetes; Onygenales; Ajellomycetaceae.